RNAcentral lists this ribosomal RNA (357 nucleotides) under Salmonella enterica. Its description in RNAcentral is "partial 23S ribosomal RNA". It matches the Rfam family "Bacterial large subunit ribosomal RNA", at positions 161 to 556 of the family's 2925-position model. RNAcentral also lists the same sequence under 2 other names. Lineage: Bacteria; Pseudomonadati; Pseudomonadota; Gammaproteobacteria; Enterobacterales; Enterobacteriaceae. The record is from RNAcentral.
AAUCCAUAGGUUAAUGAGGCGAACCGGGGGAACUGAAACAUCUAAGUACCCCGAGGAAAAGAAAUCAACCGAGAUUCCCCCAGUAGCGGCGAGCGAACGGGGAGGAGCCCAGAGCCUGAAUCAGCAUGUGUGUUAGUGGAAGCGUCUGGAAAGGCGCGCGAUACAGGGUGACAGCCCCGUACACAAAAGCGCAUGUGCUGUGAGCUCGAUGAGUAGGGCGGGACACGUGGUAUCCUGUCUGAAUAUGGGGGGACCAUCCUCCAAGGCUAAAUACUCCUGACUGACCGAUAGUGAACCAGUACCGUGAGGGAAAGGCGAAAAGAACCCCGGCGAGGGGAGUGAAAAAGAACCUGAAAC